UGAGCGCCCUAAGGUCGGGGCGCCAACACCCCCCAGCGGAAAAUUGGCCGAAAAACGGGUGGCCUAUAGCCUUGGUGGGGGGCGUGGGCGAAGUUCGUCCGCCGGACUCGGAAUGGCCCCAGACUUUGCGGGUGGCCUCCGUGUGCCAAAAAUAGGCCACGGGCACAGCCGCGCCCAAAAAUGAGCGCCCGAAGGUCGGGGCGCCAACACCCCCCAGCGGAAAAAUGGCCAAAAAACGGGUGGGCUAUAGCCUUGGCGGAGGGCGUGGGCGAAGUUCGUCCGCCGGACUCGGAAUGGCCCCAGACUUUAUGGGCGGCCUCCGUGCGCCAAAAAUAGGCAACGGGCACAGCCGCGGCCAAAAAUGAGCGCCCUAAGGUCGGGGCGCCAACACCCCCCAGCGGAAAAUUGGCCGAAAAACGGGUGGCCUAUAGCCUUGGUGGGGGGCGUGGGCGAAGUUCGUCCGCCGGACUCGGAAUGGCCCCAGACUUUGCGGGUGGCCUCCGUGUGCCAAAAAUAGGCCACGGGCACAGCCGCGCCCAAAAAUGAGCGCCCGAAGGUCGGGGCGCCAACACCCCCCAGCGGAAAAAUGGCCAAAAAACGGGUGGGCUAUAGCCUUGGCGGAGGGCGUGGGCGAAGUUCGUCCGCCGUACUCGGAAUGGCCCCAGACUUUGCGGGCGGCAACCGUGCGCCAAAAAUAGUCCACGGGCACAGCCGCGCCCAAAAACGAGCGCCCGAAGGUCGGGGCGCCAACACCCCCCAGCGGAAAAUUGGCCGAAAAACGGGUGGCCUAUAGCCUUGGUGGGGGGCGUGGGCGAAGUUCGUCCGCCGGACUCGGAAUGGCCCCAGACUUUACGGGCGGCCUCCGUGUGCCAAAAAUAGGCCACGGGCACAGCCGCGCCCAAAAAUGAGCUCCCGAAGGUCGGGUUCCAACACCCCCCAGCGGAAAAUUGGCCAAAAAACGUGUGGGCUAUAGCCUUGGUGGGGGGCGUGGGCGAAGUUCGUCCGCCGGACUCGGAAUGGCCCCAGACUUUGCGGGCGGCCUCCGUGUGCCAAAAAUAGGCCACGGGCACAGCCGCGCCCAAAAAUGAGCGCCCG
RNAcentral lists this long non-coding RNA (1095 nucleotides) under Citrus x clementina. RNAcentral describes it as "Citrus clementina (C. clementina) long non-coding RNA (CCLE_LNC004973)". Lineage: Eukaryota; Viridiplantae; Streptophyta; Magnoliopsida; Sapindales; Rutaceae. The record is from RNAcentral.